AGAGUUUGAUCCUGGCUCAGAACGAACGCUGGCGGCAUGCCUAACACAUGCAAGUCGAACGAACCCUUCGGGGUUAGUGGCGCACGGGUGCGUAACGCGUGGGAAUCUGCCCUUAGGUACGGAAUAACAGUGAGAAAUUACUGCUAAUACCGUAUGAUGUCUUCGGACCAAAGAUUUAUCGCCUAGGGAUGAGCCCGCGUAGGAUUAGCUAGUUGGUGAGGUAAAGGCUCACCAAGGCUACGAUCCUUAGCUGGUCUGAGAGGAUGAUCAGCCACACUGGGACUGAGACACGGCCCAGACUCCUACGGGAGGCAGCAGUGGGGAAUAUUGGACAAUGGGCGAAAGCCUGAUCCAGCAAUGCCGCGUGAGUGAAGAAGGCCUUCGGGUUGUAAAGUUCUUUUACCCGGGAAGAUAAUGACCGUACCGGGAGAAUAAGCCCCGGCUAACUCCGUGCCAGCAGCCGCGGUAAUACGGAGGGGGCUAGCGUUGUUCGGAAUCACUGGGCGUAAAGCGUGCGUAGGCGGCCAUUCAAGUCAGAGGUGAAAGCCCAGGGCUCAACCCUGGAACUGCCUUUGAAACUAGAUGGCUGGAACACGGGAGAGGUGAGUGGAAUUCCGAGUGUAGAGGUGAAAUUCGUAGAUAUUCGGAAGAACACCAGUGGCGAAGGCGGCUCACUGGACCGUUGUUGACGCUGAGGCACGAAAGCGUGGGGGAGCAAACAGGAUUAGAUACCCUGGUAGUCCACGCCGUAAACGAUGAUAACUAGCUGUUGGGGCUCUUGGAGCUCCAGUGGCGCAGCUAACGCAUUAAGUUAUCCGCCUGGGGAGUACGGCCGCAAGGUUAAAACUCAAAGGAAUUGACGG
Molecule: ribosomal RNA, 863 nt
Filed under: uncultured bacterium
Lineage: Bacteria
Description: bacterial SSU rRNA
Rfam family: Bacterial small subunit ribosomal RNA
Source: RNAcentral